AUGACCAGCAGGCCUGGCCACAGGCAGCAAGCACCAAAACCCAUUCCAGAUGCCAGGAAAGGCACACACAGGCCUGGCGCAGGUGGGCUGUCUUCUGGCUGCUCCCUGGGUGGACUGGUCUUGGAGACUGGACGGAGUGCUCAAUGUCAGGAGGAAGCCACGACUCACUCACUGGAGAACACGAGAGACAGCCGGCACCGCCCCGAGGAGUGAGCGGAGGAUCUGCCUGGAGCUAGCCAGCCUCAUGGCCUGGACAGACACCUCAGUGAGCCUGUGAUCAGGGCCCUCGGAGCAGAGCCAGCUGCAGGGAGGCAAGUCAGGAGGCCUUUCCUUGAGGCCAGGAGAGAAGAACAAGCCAGCAGGAGGGCAGGACAGACUCCAGAGACACUUGUUGAGAAAACUGGCUUCAGCUCCAGAGUGGGGGGCAGAGGGGCCGCUCCGCCUGGGCAGUGUGGGGACUGCUGCCGGCCGGGAAGCUGCCAAGAGCCCGGGAGAGAAGGGCAGAGGGCACAGCACUCCUUCUUCAUAGACAGCAGGGACAAAGGUGGAGGGUGACUACGUCACUCUCGAUUCCCCGCCUUUCUGGGAAGGCCUCAUCAUGAAACAUUUUCGGCAUCAUAAUACUGGCUUAUAAAUGUUCGUAUACCCAAUUCCCAAACCAUUGAUUAAUUUAUUAAAGCUAUGAUGUACGUAAGGAUGAGCAUUUAAUUAGAGAAGAGCUUCUACCAUUUCACCAACCCAGGCAGGGGGGAAGGGGUGGAAAGGGGCGGCUGCUGUCCCAGGGGCAGUCCUUGGUGUCCUCCUGGUCCAGGCUUUCUUCCCUCCCUUCAUUGGCCUCCAGAGCCAGGUGCUGCGCUGCCUGCACUAGAAGCCCUGCCCUAGGCUGUGCUGAGCAUGCGCACACACCCCCCUGAGCGGAGCUCCCGCGUCAGUGGCCUCACUCCACCCUGCUCUCCCUGCGAGCCUGCUGUCCAUAGUCUGGCAGGUCUCCUCUUCACGUUCAGUGACACAACUGCUCGGCGCAUUAUAGAGGCCUCUGAAAGGCUGUGUGUUCAUGAUCCUUCCAUGGAGGGGCUCAGAGGAGCAGCCUAAGAGGAGAUACCUGCACUGUGCAGGAAAGAGGGGCUCCCUGCAGAGCCAGUGCCGUUGGUGGGGCUCAGGCUCCCAGGGUAGGGGCAGGAGUGGUCUCCACAGUGCACAUUUGCACGCAUGUUAGGACGAGGCUAUGGGGCACAGAGGGGCUAUCUGCCCUGCCUGGAGACUGGUCUAGGGUUGCAGGGCCCACAUGCACUGCAUGCCCCCAAAAGGGUCAGGGGAAGGCUUCCUUCAUCCCCUUGGGGCUGCAGCCUCCUGCUUGCCUAGGGAAACAUGGCUCUUGGAGGCCCAGGGAGGCCGCUCCCCUGCUGAGCAGACAGGCCCCAAACUAAGGUGGAGACCACAGCGAUCGCAGCAGGGCAGCAGAAGCUGGUCUCAGGCUGGUGGGUGAAAGCUGAGGUUACUGGCAGUUGCCACGGCAUGGUGAGAUUGCCAGGAUGAGGGCCCACUUGAAGAACAUGCCUGCACUGCCCUAGAGCUGCAUCUUCCCGGCAGCAGAAUGUCAGGGGAACCAGGCCUCCCCGCUUCAAGUGGGACAAAUGUAUGAGCCUGGGGGGCAGGUGGGGAGGGCCCUGCAGGGUGCCUGGGCAGCCCGUGGAGGAAGAGCGGGGACUCCCUUCGCACCGGGUGUAGCCAGCUGCACGGCAUUAACAGCCACUUCUCCUUCAGAACUUUGCUCUUCAGGUGGGGUCUGGGGUGAGGAAACCCAGUAACCCAGGAUUUGUACAAGGAAAGUAGCUUCCUGUGGCUUGGCUUCUUACGAGCGUCUAAAAGAACCGUCCUGGUACCGCUAGGCCACAAAAAGUUCAGAAAACACUGCAAGAGACACUGGGACACUCUAAAGCCAGGCCCAGAGAAGGAAUGCUGAGGAGAGAGAGGAGGAAUGCCAAAGAGAGGCCCAGCGGGAAGGGGUUCUGCCCAGCACCCUCUGCCUGGUCCCGGGCUCCCUGUGCAGGGAGCUAUGCCAGUGUGCUGAGGGUGUUCGAUGAGGACAGCAGCUCACAAUUGCAGAAGCCAUGGACUCCUGGAGAAAUGGACCAUGCACCUUCUCCCCAGCAAAGUGUCCUCUCUCCAAAGAGCUUUGAAUCUCAGAGAAUCUGAAGGCCCCCACCACGUGGGGCCCAUCCAGAGCCCUGGCCCAGAGCAGCAGAGGACAGGCUUAUACCUCUGCUCUGGAGUUGUGAAACCGUGGCACCCUGGAGUUGUGAAAUGCCAUCUCAAACUCGGCCAAUGGCCCUUCCAUCCCUGUCCCAGCUCCUAGACUGGCUCUUUCCAUUAUAAGGAGGCCGGGAAGUAAUCCAGCUUCACCUGGUAAGUUCGACCUGUGAAAUGUGGGCAGACACAAGUCAGACACAACACCUUCUGUCCACACCGCUGGCACAAGGCUUCCAGUUGGGCAGAGCUGCUAGGGGGCACGGGGACAGAGGUGGAGCUCCUCCAUCCAGCCCCCAAAGGAGCCUGGGCGUGACCGUGGGCACUCAGAGCAGGCUGCCUCCUGAGGGACCAGAAGUCAAGCGUGCGAUGGGCUGCGGGGCGGAGAGGCCACUCUGCCUCCAGGGACACACACUCUCCCAGGCCCACUUCCCUGUGGCCAAGGAGGAAAGCCGAGCAGGCACCUUUGAGUUGCACACAACGGACACACAGCACAGAGCCCACCCAGCCUGAGUAUUUACCAUCCGCCUUUCAUGGAAAUGCCGGCACCUGCUCCAGAGGAUACAGGAAUGACAGGGAUGGAGGACGGGAGGGACUCCCAGCCUGCAGGGAGGCUCCUGCAUGUGCCCAGCAGACUUUCAGCAGGGCUGGGCUGCAGGAGUGCCCAGCAUUUCCCAUUUCAGCUCCACUGGAAAGUGCGGCUGGUUCAAGUUGUUGCGAACUGAUCCCACCCAUGUAUACUGGGGUGGGAGGGCAGUGGGCAGCUUCUCGGCUCAGGUUUCCAGAGCACGAGGGGGCAGAUCCAGAGUGAGAGUAACUCACCGUAUUAAGAGUCCGGGCAUUAAGCCUGGUGCCAUGAAGGGACCAGACUUUGGGGCCAUCUUCCUUGGGUAGGGUUUAUUUUGCAUGGGGAAAGCUGGGAAGCAAAUAUUUGUGACCAGAAGGGCAAAUGACGGUGACUGAAUUACUGCUCAUGCAUAUUCACUGCCUGUCCCUGGGAGAGGCCUACACUUCCCACCCCCUGAAGUCUUGGCCAGUUGGCGUCUCUUGUGGGAAGAAUAACUCACGUCCUGCGGGUGGUUGUCUGUGCUCUCACUGCUCUGCUCCAACACCAAUGACACUCCAGAUGGGGACUGCACUAGUUGCUUGGGAAGGGGUUGAAGACAAGAGCCACAGCUGACACAGGUGAACAGGAAAUAAACUUGUCUAUGUAUCAGCC
RNAcentral lists this non-coding RNA (3466 nucleotides) under Pan troglodytes (chimpanzee). The record is from RNAcentral. Lineage: Eukaryota; Metazoa; Chordata; Mammalia; Primates; Hominidae.